This is an RNA transcript of Mytilus californianus (California mussel), 1151 nucleotides long. RefSeq lists it as uncharacterized. NCBI's taxonomy places the organism in Eukaryota, Metazoa, Mollusca, Bivalvia, Mytilida, Mytilidae. The transcript has 7 exons. The record is from RefSeq and is a predicted model, not a curated record.
UCUAGUUACCGGUUUAAGCUCUAUUUGUUAAUUGGUAUGUGAGCAUUAUGAAUGAAAUAAUUUUGGUGUGUAGCUUCAAAAGGAAAAUAUGUGUGGUAUUUAAAAUCGUGAUUAGUUAUUAAAUAAGAGGUCAUUGUAGACAUUUAAAACUCUUUUUUUUUGUAAUCAAUUCACCUUGCAUUUAUAAACACGGAUAGGUAUACUAAAUGGGUGGAUUAAGCAGAAAAACCAUAAUUCUUCUUUGAAUUCAUGCACUUUCAAUUACAAUUAUUCAUUAGCUUUUGGAUAUGCAAUGGAAGGUUAAUAACUGAAAUUUUGUAAGCAGACCUAAAAAAGGAAGAAAGAUAAAAACUUAUCAUGAAAUUAUUGAAAAUACUGCUUUUGUACAGUAUUCUGAUCUCCAUGUAUGCAGAGGCUUGCAUUAGAAGUUCCGAAAAUUCUAAUCUUGGCAAACUUACAUACUUAGUAAAUAACCAAACAAUUCCAGAAAAUCAUAGACUAAAAUGUACAGAUAACGAGACACAAACAUUAGCCUGUUUGAAUGGAGGAUCAUGCUUUGCUGUGUAUGUAGCUGACAGAGUAGUGGGAUGUGCAUGUUUAAAUAAAUAUAUUGGUAACCUUGUGAAAUGAUAGACCCGGAAAUCAUAUUUGACCAAUCAGUAAGAGAGAAAGAAGUCAGAAUUGGAUUCAUUUCAGGUUUCACAGCAUUAAUCAUUUUAUUACUUAUUGUAAUUAUGAUACUUAUAUGGUUUAAAAUGAAAAGGAGCAAGAAAGCAAAAGAUACCAAAAGUAAAAGUAAUAAAGCAUCAGGUCAGAGUGAUCCAAACAAAUUGGUUGGGAAAUCAGGAGGUGACGACAACAAAUUUGUGAAACAACCAGAUAAAAUAAAUCCGGUAGAAUCCACGAGUUUACUGGAAAGAGAGAAUGCGACAUAAACUAGCGUUUCAACGAAUGGAAAUAACAUAAAGCUAUGAGACUAUUAUCAAUAAAGAUUGCUUUGUUUCCAUAGAGAGUGCUGAUUAUUCUAGUUUUAAAGCGAGAGAAGAUGAAAAUCAAAAACAUUCAGUCUCUUCAAAAUACACUGUUGUAAUUCCUUUCAUUUUUCAUGUUUCAUGUAUAUAAAAAUUAUGAAAAAUAAAGCCACAAAAAUA